RNAcentral lists this ribosomal RNA (468 nucleotides) under uncultured bacterium. RNAcentral's name for it is "partial 16S ribosomal RNA". It matches the Rfam family "Bacterial small subunit ribosomal RNA", at positions 28 to 507 of the family's 1533-position model. The record is from RNAcentral.
GACGAACGCUGGCGGCGUGCUUAACACAUGCAAGUCGAACGGAAAGGCCCUGCUUGUUUGGUGUUCUCGAUUGGCGAACGGGUGAGUAACACGUAAGUAACCUGCCCUUGACUUUGGUAUAACUUCAGGAAACUGGAGCUAAGACCAGAUAGGAGCUCCUGCUGCGUGGUAGGGGGUGGAAAGUUUCGGCUGGUGGGGAUGGACUAGCGGCUUAUCAGCUAGUUGGUGGGGUAGUGGCUUACCAAGGCUUUGACGGGUAGGCGGCACGAGAGGGUGAACGGCCACAAUGGGCCUGAGAUACGGACCAGACUCCUACGGGAGGCAGCAGUGGGGAAUAUUGCACAAUGGGAGCAAGCCUGAUGCAGAAACGUCGCGUUUGGGAUGACGGCCUUCGGGGUGUAAACAGCUUUCGCCUGUGACGAAGCGUGAGUGACGGUACUGGGUAAAGAAGCACCGGCUAACUACGUG